GCACUUGUAGCUUAAUUGGAUAGAGCACCUGACUACGGAUCAGGAGGUUAGGGGUUCGACUCCCUUCAAGUGCACCU
RNAcentral lists this transfer RNA (77 nucleotides) under Olivibacter domesticus. RNAcentral's name for it is "Pseudosphingobacterium domesticum tRNA_Arg_ACG". It matches the Rfam family "tRNA". Rfam says of the family: Transfer RNA (tRNA) molecules are approximately 80 nucleotides in length. Their secondary structure includes four short double-helical elements and three loops (D, anti-codon, and T loops). Further hydrogen bonds mediate the characteristic L-shaped molecular structure. tRNAs have two regions of fundamental functional importance: the anti-codon, which is responsible for specific mRNA codon recognition, and the 3' end, to which the tRNAs corresponding amino acid is attached (by aminoacyl-tRNA synthetases). tRNAs cope with the degeneracy of the genetic code in two manners: having more than one tRNA (with a specific anti-codon) for a particular amino acid; and 'wobble' base-pairing, i.e. permitting non-standard base-pairing at the 3rd anti-codon position. Lineage: Bacteria; Pseudomonadati; Bacteroidota; Sphingobacteriia; Sphingobacteriales; Sphingobacteriaceae. The record is from RNAcentral.